Molecule: transfer RNA, 62 nt
Filed under: Steinernema glaseri
Lineage: Eukaryota; Metazoa; Nematoda; Chromadorea; Rhabditida; Steinernematidae
Description: tRNA-Ile
Source: RNAcentral
AUUACUUUAGUAAAAUAAUAUUAUAUCAUCUUGAUAAGGUGAAGUUCCUUAAGGAAGUAAUA